UGGGGAAUCUUGCACAAGGGGCGAAAGCCGGAUGCAGCAACGCGGCGGGCGGGAAGAAGGCAUGAGGGGUGGAAACCGCGGUCAGCAGGGAAGAAAAGGACGGGACCUGCAGAAGAAGGUGGGGCCAACUACGGGCCAGCAGCCGCGGUGACACGUAGGAACCAAGCGUGGGCCGGAGGGAUUGGGCGUAAAGAGCGAGGAGGCGGUUCGGUAAGGCGGGUGUGAAAACUCUGGGCUCAACCCAGAGACGCCACCCGAUACUGCUGUGACUCGAGUGCGGUAGGGGAGCGGGGAAUUCCUGGUGUAGCGGUGCAAUGCGCAGAUAUCAGGAGGAACACCAGUGGCGAAGGCGCCGCUCUGGGCCGUGACUGCCGCUGAGGAGCGAAAGCGUGGGGAGCACCCAGG
RNAcentral lists this ribosomal RNA (405 nucleotides) under Bacillota bacterium. RNAcentral's name for it is "Firmicutes bacterium partial 16S ribosomal RNA". It matches the Rfam family "Bacterial small subunit ribosomal RNA", at positions 355 to 776 of the family's 1533-position model. Lineage: Bacteria; Bacillati; Bacillota. The record is from RNAcentral.